This 491-nucleotide ribosomal RNA is filed under the name uncultured bacterium. RNAcentral's name for it is "partial 16S ribosomal RNA". It matches the Rfam family "Bacterial small subunit ribosomal RNA", at positions 29 to 507 of the family's 1533-position model. The record is from RNAcentral.
GUGAACGCUGGCGGUAGGCCUAACACAUGCAAGUCGAACGGCAGCACAGUAAGAGCUUGCUCUUUCAGGUGGCCGGUGGACGACGGGUUAGGAAGACAUCGGAAUCUACUUUUUCGUGGGGGAUCACGUAGAGAAAGGUACGCUUAUACCGCAUUCGACCUACGGGUGAAAGUCAGUGAUCUUCGGACCUUUCGCUAUUGAAUGAACCUAUGUCGGAUUAGCUAGUUGGCGGGGUAAAGGCCCACCAAGGCGACGAUCCGUAGCUGGUCUGAGAGGAUGAUCAGCCACACUGGAACUGAGACACGGUCCAGACUCCUACGGGAGGCAGCAGUGGGGAAUAUUGGACAAUGGGCGCAAGCCUGAUCCAGCCAUACCGCGUGGGUGAAGAAGGCCUUCGGGUUGUAAAGCCCUUUUGUUGGGAAAGAAAAGCAGCAGGUUAAUACCCCGCUGUCCUGACGGUACCCAAAGAAUAAGCACCGGCUAACUUCGUG